AAAGCAACUUCACCCACAGCUACCAUGACUUUCAUCCCCGUGUUCAUCUGGACACUGAUCCUCUGGACUCAAGAAUGCAGAGGUCAAGCCACAGUAACUCAGACUCCUGCAGUGAAAUCUGCUCUUCCAGGAGAAACAGUCACCAUCAACUGUAGAACUAAUCCCCAGGUGUACCAAGGCUGGAGUAAUCAACCUUUACACUGGUAUCAACAGAAACCUGGAGAAGCUCCUAAACUCCUGAUUAAGAUCGCAAAUCAGCGAGAGUCAGGUAUUCCAGCUCGUUUCAGUGGCAGUGGAUCUGGAUCUGAUUUCACUCUGACCAUCAGUGGAGUCCAGACUGAAGAUGCAGGAGAUUACUACUGUCAGAGUUUCCAUUACAUCAGUAGCACCAACCUGUUCACACAGUGUUAUAGAGUCGUACAAAAACCUCCCUCAGUCAGAUUGUAGAGAGACUGAACUGCUGCAGCUGGGAGUGACUGCAGGUGCUGAGUUGGAGGAUGUGAUACGACACAAUGAUACUCUGUGGAGGAGAGGAACCACAUCACACUAACUCACAACUCACAUUAGAGAUCUCUCAAUAAUCAACACAGUACACUGAACACAGUCCAUCACAACCAACAGUUUAACAUAAAUAGUUCUGUAGUUUUCUAUUCAUUAAAACUCUAUCACUAAUCCUACCCUCAGUACAUUCUCUAAUUCUGACCCAGAAUCAAUCCCAGUUCUUAAUCUGGUCUCAGCCUCAGUCUCUGUCUUGUGCCUGUUUCAGGUUACACUCUGGUCCUGAUCUGGACUCUGACUCAGUCACUGGUGUAACUCCUCUUGACCCUGAACCUGAUGUUCAUUCUCUUUAUUUCCUAGUGCAGACUGAGACCUGGUUUCCUGCAGAGUAUCGCACACCUCUUGUAUUGUCUCAUCUUAAACAAUUUCAUUCUUUCAAUGCUCAGUAGCUUAAUGCUACUGAGAAUGAGAUUAUUAUAGGCCUAUCGAAUAUAAAGUUUAGUACCACACGUUAUCAGUCCAAGUUGUGGGAUCACUGGCACCAUUGUAUUUUUUAACACAGUGAUUUACUUUUUUUUUCUUCUGUGUGUGUUUUUAAAUAUUUGACCUUGAGUUAAUUUAUUGACUGAUCCUCUGGACUCAAGGUCAGACACUGCUUCAUAUUUUAUCUCUACAAUAAACUCUUCAUAAUAAUACACUUAUUGUUUCUAUUAGAAUAUUUCAGUUUCAUGCUGCGUUAUUGUGUAUUUUUCAGAAUGCAGAGGUCAAGCCACAGUAACUCAGACUCCUGCAGUGAAAUCUGCUCUUCCAGGAGAAACAGUCACCAUCAACUGUAGAACCAGUCCGGCAGUGUAUCAUCACAGCUCAUAUGGUCACUACUUACACUGGCAUCUGUCACAUAACGGUGGCGUCAACAAGGCAAGAUCAGACCCAAAGUGCAGGGAUAGCAGCCAGUCAGGAUAAUAUACUUUGAAACACUGGGGAAAAACUCAACACAAAAUAAAAUCCAACAUUGUUUUUGUGGGGUUUUUUAGUCUUUCUUUCUUCUGUUCUAACAGAGUUUUGAAACUUUUACCUCACUAACACAAGUCAGUAUUCAUGAAAUGUUACCGAUAAUUUGCUGUUAAUUAUUUUUUUCUCAUUAAAUUUUCUCUUUGAAUGGAAAACUGCUUUGUAGGGGUGUAUUAAUGCAUCGCAAUGCAAAAAUGCGGUAAUGUGCAUUGUGUGAUUUUAUUUAGUGGAAAUCAGCAUUCUGUUAAUAAUGCAUCUCGUGCAAUUGCACUGUUUGAACACCAGAGAUCACAAUCUGUGCAAAAGCACAAAUUCUGUAGUGUGCACUAAUCACAUGAUCAGAGUCUACACUAUUACAGGAAAUCAUCUGAACUUGUGAAGUGAUCGAUGGCUUCAGAUACAAGUUAUACAGCGUAUGCAUUUA
Non-coding RNA from Hemibagrus wyckioides, 1933 nucleotides. The record is from the annotation of a RefSeq genome assembly. Lineage: Eukaryota; Metazoa; Chordata; Actinopteri; Siluriformes; Bagridae.